Molecule: long non-coding RNA, 1271 nt
Organism: Helianthus annuus (common sunflower)
Lineage: Eukaryota; Viridiplantae; Streptophyta; Magnoliopsida; Asterales; Asteraceae
Exons: 2
Source: RefSeq, a predicted model, not a curated record
UCUUCAGAUCUUCAAAACGUAUCACUCUCCAAAUUAUCUUUCUCCUCUCUCUCUCUCUCUCUCUCUCUCUCUCUCCCUCUUUAAAACCCAGCACCGCCACCAUCUCCACCUCCACCUUCAACCCACCUCCACCGUCACCUUCAACCCACCUCCACCUCCACCUUCAACCCACCUCCACCGUCAUCUUCCUCUUCUCUCUCUUUCUCCCUGUUUAGGGAUUAUUAUUAACAACACUUGUAUAGUGACAGGCAGCCUGCCAGAUUUAUCGGAACGGUGAUGAAACCGGCUACGGUUGCCGCAACGGUGGACAUGUCCAUCGGCCAGAUAUUUUCCCCAAGUCGUUGAAUAUCUACAGCGUCAAAGAGAAAUAAUUUUUGAAUCAUAGAAGAUGGUGAGACCGUAUGCACUUUAAGGGGCGAAAGAGGAAGAAGAACAAAACAGAAAGAUCCUUAUGUUGAGUGGUGUCUUGUGUUUAGAAAAAAACAACACGGAAGUGUGCACUAGUGGAGGUGAGAUAUUUUUAUUUAAUUUUGUGAUCACACGUUUGGAGCGGCAAAUUUAUUUGGGUUGUAUUUUGAUCAUAUGUAGCAACUGAUAUGAGUGGAUAUUGAAGUUCUUAUCUUUUUUCUGGCCAGAUUCGUUUUUUUUUUUUCGACGGGUUUGAGUGGUGGUGCUGGUGGUUUGGGCAGUGUAGUGGUGGUGGAGGUGGUGGUUGUAUUAUGGUUUUUUUUUUUUUUUAUGUAACUUGAAUGUUAAAUGACUUUUAUCAACUGUGAUAAGUAUGGAUAGUUAAAUAAUUUUCAGCUUAUACAGACGAUAUCCAGUUUAUAAAACAAACAGUAUUAUAUUUUCAGCUUGCAGAUCUUCAGACCACAUCUUCAGUUGCAGACAUAAAAUCAGCUGAAAUCAGACUGCAGACAGUUUUUGUCUGCAAAAACAAACAGCACCUUAGUGUUAAUGUUUUUAACAUGAAUAAAUGUACCGGUCUGACAACCCAUAACUGUGAAACACGUCAACCCAUCAACACGGCACGAUUUAGACCAUCAACCAACAUGUGCGGAUGUUGAACCGCUUUCUACAAUACACUGUGUCCACUAUCCAUUCUCUAUUCUCUAGGCCCAUUUAGAUGUUGAUGUUUGUGGCUCUCUCUAUCAAAAAGUCAGGUACUUUUUUAGUAGGUCAAACCGGUUGGGUCCGGUUGAAAGAAUCUGGCCCAUGACAAUGUCAUGUAAUGUAACUUAUUCUCCAAAACAUUAAUUGGUUGACAUGAA